GCCAAUAGCCAUAUCACCCUGCAGCCCAAGACCAGUUACUCACUGAAGCUAAGCAGGGCUGAGCCUGGUCAGUAACAUGAUGGGAGGACACAUGGGAAAGCUAGGUUGCUGUUGGAG
Danio rerio (zebrafish) is the source of this 117-nucleotide ribosomal RNA. NCBI's taxonomy places the organism in Eukaryota, Metazoa, Chordata, Actinopteri, Cypriniformes, Danionidae. The record is from Ensembl.